UGCAGUCGGANGGUAGCAGGUAAGUACUUGUACUUAUGCUGACGAGUGGCGGACGGGUGAGUAAUGCUUGGGAAUCUGUCUUAUGGAGGGGGAUAACGACGGGAAACUGUCGCUAAUACCGCGUAGAAUCGGGAGAUGAAAGUGUGGGACCUUCGGGCCACAUGCCAUAGGAUGAGCCCAAGUGUGAUUAGGUAGUUGGUGGGGUAAAGGCCUACCAAGCCGACGAUCGCUAGCUGGUCUGAGAGGAUGGCCAGCCACACCGGGACUGAGACACGGCCCGGACUCCUACGGGAGGCAGCAGUGGGGAAUAUUGCGCAAUGGGGGCAACCCUGACGCAGCCAUGCCGCGUGAAUGAAGAAGGCCUUCGGGUUGUAAAGUUCUUUCGGUGAUGAGGAAGGUUGGUGUGUUAAUAGCAUGCCAAAUUGACGUUAAAUACAGAAGAAGCACCGGCUAACUCCGUGCCAGCAGCCGCGGUAAUACGGGGGGUGCGAGCGUUAAUCGGAAUAACUGGGCGUAAAGGGCACGUAGGCGGACCUUUAAGUGAGGUGUGAAAUCCCCGGGCUUAACCUGGGAAUUGCAUUUCAUACUGGGGGUCUGGAGUACUUUAGGGAGGGGUAGAAUUCCACGUGUAGCGGUGAAAUGCGUAGAGAUGUGGAGGAAUACCGAAGGCGAAGGCAGCCCCUUGGGGAUGUACUGACGCUGAUGUGCGAAAGCGUGGGGAGCAAACAGGAUUAGAUACCCUGGUAGUCCACGCUGUAAACGGUGUCGAUUUGGGGAUUGGGGUUUAGCCCUGGUGCCCGAAGCUAACGUGAUA
This 814-nucleotide ribosomal RNA is filed under the name Aggregatibacter actinomycetemcomitans. RNAcentral describes it as "bacterial SSU rRNA". It matches the Rfam family "Bacterial small subunit ribosomal RNA", at positions 56 to 862 of the family's 1533-position model. Lineage: Bacteria; Pseudomonadati; Pseudomonadota; Gammaproteobacteria; Pasteurellales; Pasteurellaceae. The record is from RNAcentral.